Molecule: long non-coding RNA, 302 nt
Organism: Microcebus murinus (gray mouse lemur)
Lineage: Eukaryota; Metazoa; Chordata; Mammalia; Primates; Cheirogaleidae
Source: Ensembl
CUGGGUCUUUAGGUAUUGGUUGAGUUUUCCCUUGUAAACCUGGAGCUCAAUGUUGGGUUCCUUGUCAAUCAUUUCAGACCCUCCAAUGAAGUUGUUUGUAGGCGGGGUCUUAGACUGGGUGUCCAGGCAUCCGUACCACGUGACCAGGUAGAUACCGUUAAAGUCUGGAUUGUCCUGUGGGGCUUCCGUGGACAGUUUCCCGAGGAUAUGUGGGAAUAUGGCGGCACCCGCCUUCCGGGAUCAGAAAAUGACCUGUGGUGGAAAAGACCAGGACUGGUCAGCAUGGGAGCCUGUACCAUGAC